GGGAUCGUGGUCUAGCUUGGUUAGGAUUCGGGCCUUGGGCGCCUGAGGUCGUCGGUUCAAAUCCGGCCGAUCCCA
This is a non-coding RNA of Thaumarchaeota archaeon 13_1_20CM_2_38_5, 75 nucleotides long. The record is from Rfam. Lineage: Archaea; Thermoproteati; Nitrososphaerota.